This 484-nucleotide ribosomal RNA is filed under the name uncultured bacterium. Its description in RNAcentral is "partial 16S ribosomal RNA". It matches the Rfam family "Bacterial small subunit ribosomal RNA", at positions 30 to 507 of the family's 1533-position model. The record is from RNAcentral.
AUUGAACGCUGGCGGCAUGCUUUACACAUGCAAGUCGAACGGCAGCGCGGGCUUCGUCCUGGCGUCGAGUGGCGAACGGGUGAGUAAUUCAUCGGAACGUGCCCAGUAGUGGGUGAUAGCCCGGCGAAAGCCGGAUUAAUACCGCAUACGACCUUAUGUUGAAAGCGGGGGUCCGAAAGUCCUCUCUCUCUUUUAUCGGCCGAUGUCGGAUUAGCUAGUUGGUUGGGUAAAGGCUUACCAAGGCGACGAUCCGUAGCUGGUCUGAGAGGACGACCAGCCACACUGGGACUGAGACACGGCCCAGACUCCUACGGGAGGCAGCAGUGGGGAAUUUUGGACAAUGGGGGCAAACCUGAUCCAGCAAUGCCGAGUGAGGGAAGAAGGACUUCGGGUUGUAAACCGCUUUUGUUCGGGAAGAAAAAAUCUGGGCUAAUACACCGGGGGGAUGACGGUAACGGAAGAAUAAGCACCGGCUAACUACGUG